Non-coding RNA from Trichonephila clavipes, 72 nucleotides. The record is from the annotation of a GenBank genome assembly. Lineage: Eukaryota; Metazoa; Arthropoda; Arachnida; Araneae; Nephilidae.
GGGGGUAUAGCUCAGUGGUAGAGCAUUUGACUGCAGGUUGAGAGGUUCUCGGUACAAACCCGGGUGCCCUCU